GACGAACGCUGGCGGCGCGCUUAACACAUGCAAGUCGAACGGAAAGGCCCUGCUUUUGUGGGGUGCUCGAGUGGCGAACGGGUGAGUAACACGUGAGUAACCUGCCCUUGACUUUGGGAUAACUUCAGGAAACUGGGGCUAAUACCGGAUAGGAGCUCCUGCUGCAUGGUGGGGGUUGGAAAGUUUCGGCGGUUGGGGAUGGACUCGCGGCUUAUCAGCUUGUUGGUGGGGUAGUGGCUUACCAAGGCUUUGACGGGUAGCCGGCCUGAGAGGGUGACCGGCCACAGUGGGACUGAGAUACGGCCCAGACUCCUACGGGAGGCAGCAGUGGGGAAUAUUGCACAAUGGGCGGAAGCCUGAUGCAGCAACGCCGCGUGCGGGAUGACGGCCUUCGGGUUGUAAACCGCUUUCGCCUGUGGCGAAGCGUGAGUGACGGUAAUGGGUAAAGAAGCACCGGCUAACUACGUG
This 468-nucleotide ribosomal RNA is filed under the name uncultured bacterium. Its description in RNAcentral is "partial 16S ribosomal RNA". It matches the Rfam family "Bacterial small subunit ribosomal RNA", at positions 28 to 507 of the family's 1533-position model. The record is from RNAcentral.